This 24-nucleotide non-coding RNA is filed under the name Arabidopsis thaliana (thale cress). The record is from RNAcentral. Lineage: Eukaryota; Viridiplantae; Streptophyta; Magnoliopsida; Brassicales; Brassicaceae.
GGGUUCAGGUCGGGCUGAGCUUUU